Molecule: ribosomal RNA, 752 nt
Filed under: uncultured bacterium
Lineage: Bacteria
Description: bacterial SSU rRNA
Rfam family: Bacterial small subunit ribosomal RNA
Source: RNAcentral
GCAGUCGACGGUGAUGGGGAGCUUGCUCCUCUGAUCAGUGGCGAACGGGUGAGUAACACGUGAGUAACCUGCCCUUCACUCUGGGAUAACGUCGGGAAACCGGUGCUAAUACUGGAUAUGACCUGCUCGGGCAUCCGAUGUGGGUGGAAAGAUUUAUUGGUGGAGGAUGGACUCGCGGCCUAUCAGCUUGUUGGUGAGGUAAUGGCUCACCAAGGCGACGACGGGUAGCCGGCCUGAGAGGGCGAUCGGCCACACUGGGACUGAGACACGGCCCAGACUCCUACGGGAGGCAGCAGUGGGGAAUAUUGCACAAUGGGCGAAAGCCUGAUGCAGCGACGCCGCGUGAGGGAUGAAGGCCUUCGGGUUGUAAACCUCUUUCAGCAGGGAAGAAGCGGCCGGGUUUUCUUGGUUGUGACGGUACCUGCAGAAGAAGCACCGGCUAACUACGUGCCAGCAGCCGCGGUAAUACGUAGGGUGCAAGCGUUGUCCGGAAUUAUUGGGCGUAAAGAGCUUGUAGGUGGUUUGUCGCGUCUGUUGUGAAAUUUCGGGGCUCAACCCCGAACUUGCAGUGGAUACGGGCAGACUAGAGUGUGGUAGGGGAGACUGGAAUUCCUGGUGUAGCGGUGAAAUGCGCAGAUAUCAGGAGGAACACCGAUGGCGAAGGCAGGUCUCGGGGCCAUUACUGACACUGAGAAGCGAAAGCAUGGGGAGCGAACAGGAUUAGAUACCCUGGUAGAAUCACUAGUGAAUUC